Molecule: ribosomal RNA, 254 nt
Filed under: Pelobates cultripes (western spadefoot toad)
Lineage: Eukaryota; Metazoa; Chordata; Amphibia; Anura; Pelobatidae
Description: SSU_rRNA_eukarya
Rfam family: Eukaryotic small subunit ribosomal RNA
Source: RNAcentral
GGAGUUAAGGACGGGAUGUUGUCCUUGUAACGGGGAUCCAGCAUGGUGGCCACCCAGUAAUCAGCACAAGUUAGAAUGUGGGCAACUCGGCAGUCAUUGCGCAGGCACUUUGGUGACUCUAGAUAACCUCGGGCCGAUCGCAUGUCCCCGUGACGGCGACAACGCAUUCAGAUGUCUGCCCUAUCAACUUUCGAUGGUACUUUCUGCACCUACCAUGGUGACCACGGGUAACGGGGAAUCAGGGUUCGAUUCCA